Molecule: ribosomal RNA, 253 nt
Filed under: uncultured bacterium
Lineage: Bacteria
Description: partial 16S ribosomal RNA
Rfam family: Bacterial small subunit ribosomal RNA
Source: RNAcentral
GACGAACCGUGCGAACGUUGUUCGGAUUCACUGGGCUUAAAGGGCGCGUAGGCGGACGGUCAAGUCAGGGGUGAAAUCUUUCAGCUCAACUGGAAAAGUGCCUUUGAUACUGGGUAUCUCGAGUCCGGAAGAGGUGAGUGGAAUUCCGAGUGUAGAGGUGAAAUUCGUAGAUAUUCGGAGGAACACCAGUGGCGAAGGCGGCCAUCUGGACCAGUACUGACGCUGAGGCACGAAAGCGUGGGGAGCAAACAGG